UCCGCAUUGGUCCAGUGGUUAGGAUCCCGCUCUUUCACAGCGGUUGCGGGGGUUCGAAUCCCCCAUGCGGAG
This is a non-coding RNA of Irineochytrium annulatum, 72 nucleotides long. NCBI's taxonomy places the organism in Eukaryota, Fungi, Chytridiomycota, Chytridiomycetes, Chytridiales, Chytridiaceae. The record is from the annotation of a GenBank genome assembly.